CUAAGAAUAUUCCGCAAUGGACGAAAGUCUGACGGAGCGACGCCGCGUGGAUGAAGAAGGCCGCAAGGUUGUAAAAUCCUUUGCUGGGGAAGAAUAAGUCCAGGAGGGAAUGCCUGGAUGAUGACAUGAACCGGCGAAUAAGCCCCGGCCAACUACGUGCCAGCAGCCGCGGUAACACGUAGGGGGCAAGCGUUGUUCGGAAUUACUGGGCGUAAAGGGCAUGUAGGCGGUUUAGUAAGCUUGGCGUGAAAGACCACAGCUCAACUGUGGGGUUGCGUUGAGAACUGCUGAACUUGAGUUACGGAGAGGGAGCUAGAAUUCCUGGUGUAGGGGUGGAAUCUGUAGAGAUCAGGAAGAAUACCGAUGGCGAAGGCAAGCUUCUGGCCGAUAACUGACGCUGAGGUGCGAAAGUGUGGGGAUCAAACAGGAUUAGAUACCCUGGUAGUCCACACUGUAAACGAUGUACACUAGGUGCUGGUGCGGAUGCAUCAGGGCCGAAGCGAACGCGCUAAGUGUACCGCCUGGGGAGUAUGCUCGCAAGGGUGAAACUCAAAUGAAUUGACGGGGUCAUAGCUGUUUCCUG
RNAcentral lists this ribosomal RNA (583 nucleotides) under uncultured bacterium. RNAcentral's name for it is "partial 16S ribosomal RNA". It matches the Rfam family "Bacterial small subunit ribosomal RNA", at positions 355 to 1376 of the family's 1533-position model. The record is from RNAcentral.